GACAACACACCAUGUCAACGUUUAUUUUAUUUAAAAAACAAAAAAACAAAAGAGGUCAGAAGGAGGAAGAAAAAGGAAAACACUCCCAGAGUUUUCAUUUCUCUCUUGGCUUCAUUUCUCUCUUGGUAUCGCCUCUCUUGGUUUCGUUUCUAUCCCACUCUUAUCGUAUUUGAGUCUCAGAUCGGUGUAGCUCCAUCAUUGUUGAUCAAUUGUAGCGACCCACGCCAUCCUUAGCUGCUACCCACAUCGUCGAACUUGGCGGAUGAUGCUCACCGCUACAAGUUCAAGACAUGUGGAAAAAAUUAAGGAGGUCACACCAGAUUUGAGAGAAGUUGAAUAACUAUCUAUUUGUGCACUUUGAGUGUCAUUCUUGAUGCUAUGUACUGGUCCUUGUGUUAAUUUAGGAUACUGUUACUUUCAUGUAUUUUUGCACUUUGGGUGUCAUUCUUGAUGCUAUGUACAAGGAACUUAUGUUAAUUUGGGACACUGUUACUUUGAUGUAAUUGUACACUUUGGGUGUCAUUCUUGAUGCUAUGUACAAGGAACAAUGUGUGGAUUGUCGUGUAAUCUAAGUUAGAUAUAAUUUGAAUGCCCCUUGAUUUAUUUCCAAGUCUUGUGUUUCUGCCUCUUUGUUGGGAAAUAAAAGAGCAGGUUGGUGGAUGGUGAGGCA
Juglans microcarpa x Juglans regia is the source of this 670-nucleotide long non-coding RNA. RefSeq lists it as uncharacterized. The record is from RefSeq and is a predicted model, not a curated record. The transcript has 2 exons. NCBI's taxonomy places the organism in Eukaryota, Viridiplantae, Streptophyta, Magnoliopsida, Fagales, Juglandaceae.